UGGGAAUAAUGUCACCAAUAGCAUAAGAAUUAAUGUCUACUAUGAUGCUGAAAUAAAUAAACUGGUAAAACUACUCUGCUGUCUAAAUCCCCAAGUUACAAAUUUACAGAGCUGCCGGCUUCCCCUUGAAGGAAUAGGAGUAGACCUGCUGAACUAUCACAUGAGAGAAGAGGCCCAAAAGCUUGCACACUACAGUCAAGCUGGCCCUUAAAGAGAUGGACCUAGAAGAUGCUGAGCCAGAUAUACUCAAUUACUUCUCCAAAAUCCAUCAAUUAGGAAUACAACAUGUUUAAGACCACAGAACAUCUGCAUAGGCUGUAAAUUUCGUUAAAUGAUGGAUGCAAAGAUGGAAGACAGAUGGAUAGAGAAAAAGACAGAAUCAGAUACUGGAUGAGUUAGUACUGCUGCUUGUGCUUCAGAGCUGUCUUAUUACCACAAGGCCGGCAAGCAUCAAUGUCCCCACAUCCCCCUCUGCCUCCCCCUGAAAUGUACCGAUUUAUAUGAAAAUUAAGAUUACAAAUUAAAGCCUGGCUAUCCUGGAGUUUUCCAGUUCAUCAGCCAUCCAAUAAAAAUGAUGUCAAGCCUGUAUGCAUAAUUCCCGGAAGAUUACUUUCGUCCUUACAGCUAAGCCCUGUCCCUGAUAUGAAAGAUCUCUAUCCACUUUUAUUGAAAUAAAGAACUAACAUCAUAAUCCC
RNAcentral lists this non-coding RNA (695 nucleotides) under Pan troglodytes (chimpanzee). Lineage: Eukaryota; Metazoa; Chordata; Mammalia; Primates; Hominidae. The record is from RNAcentral.